Chenopodium quinoa (quinoa) is the source of this 378-nucleotide long non-coding RNA. RefSeq lists it as uncharacterized. The record is from RefSeq and is a predicted model, not a curated record. Lineage: Eukaryota; Viridiplantae; Streptophyta; Magnoliopsida; Caryophyllales; Amaranthaceae. The transcript has 3 exons.
CUACUGAUGUUGUACAUUGAAGACACUACACCUUCAGCUAUAUUCUUCUUUAUCUGUUUUUAAUUUGAUAGUUUGUGUCUUGUAAAUAUUAUGUUAUACCCUUAAUAACUGUGAACCUUCUGUACACAGAUCUUUGAUUUGUUCGAUGUUAAAAGGAAAGGAGUAGUUGACUUCGGUGACUUCGUCAGAGUGUUGAACGUCUUCCAUCCUAAUGCCUCCCAAGAGGAUAAGAUAGACUUCACAUUUAAGCUUUAUGACCUGGAUGGCACAGUAUAUAUUGAGCGCAAUGAGAUCGAGCUGGAAUCUGCAAAGUCUGAAAUUCAGAAAUAGCAUUCUUCAUUUCAGGAUGAGUCUUUUAUAUCCCCAGCUACUACUCCA